Molecule: transfer RNA, 66 nt
Filed under: Drosophila erecta
Lineage: Eukaryota; Metazoa; Arthropoda; Insecta; Diptera; Drosophilidae
Description: tRNA-Trp
Source: RNAcentral
AGGCUUUAAGUUAAUAAAACUAAUAGCCUUCAAAGCUGUAAAUAAAGGGUGUUCCUUUAAGUCUUA